Scatophagus argus is the source of this 592-nucleotide long non-coding RNA. RefSeq lists it as uncharacterized. The record is from RefSeq and is a predicted model, not a curated record. The transcript is spliced from 3 exons. Lineage: Eukaryota; Metazoa; Chordata; Actinopteri; Scatophagidae.
GACUAAUCAUAGUUUCUGUCACAGUCCACUGUUGCUUUCACUGCCCCUCUCACUCAUGCACUGUCCAACUAUUUGAUUUUGCACCAUCUUUUUGUCUUUCCAGCUCUUAAAUCCAUCAGGAUUCACGCCAGGACCCGAGAGCCAGCUCAGCUCACCCGCCCCUCUCCUGCUGCUUCACCCUCCACAUCCAUGCUUAAUUCCUUGAUUUCAUCGUUCUCUUUUCUCGGAGCUUAUUUGUGCCUCCCUCCACGUCGGAGACCUUCCUCUGGUGCUGAGUGAGCGAGGAAAUGGAUGGAAGAUGGGUGGCAUGGUGAUGCUUAUCAGGGGCCGCGGGCCAGGGAGGCAGCAGGCUAAGCAAGGGAAUCCAGACUCCUUCUCCUCAGCAACAUCUUCCAGCUCCACCUGGGGGAGUGUUUGCUGGAGGACACGGUCUGAUGGGGGGGCCAACAGAACCACAUCUUCAGCAAAAAGCAGGAAAGCAAUUGUAAGAUCCCCAAACAGGAGAUGCCCUCCCUACCCACCCUGCUGUACGUUCAGAUCCUGUCCAUAACAAAAGAAUAUGGUUUGCAUUGGAAAUUUUUUUAUCAUUUUU